RNAcentral lists this ribosomal RNA (333 nucleotides) under Akalyptoischion anasillos. RNAcentral describes it as "partial 12S ribosomal RNA". Lineage: Eukaryota; Metazoa; Arthropoda; Insecta; Coleoptera; Latridiidae. The record is from RNAcentral.
UACUAAUUAUUAAUAGUUAUGUUCUUUAAAAUUAAAGAUUUUGGCGGUAUUUUAGUCUUUUCAAAGGAACCUGUUCUAUAAUUGAUAGUCCACGAUAAAUUGUACUUAUUUUAAAUAGCUUGUAUACCGUCGUAGUUAAAUAUUUUAAAAGAAUUUAAAUAUUUAAAAUUUUUUAUCAAGAAAAUAAAUCAGAUCAAGGUGCAGCUUAUAAAUGAGAAGAAAUGGGUUACAAUAAAUUUAUUUAAAUGGUAUAAAAAGUGAAAUUUUUUAUUAAAGUGGAUUUGAAAGUAAUUAAAAAUAGUUUUUUAAAAUGAUUUUAGCUCUAAAAUAUGU